CUCGUAGGCGGUUCGUCGCGUCCGGUGUGAAAGUCCAUCGCUUAACGGUGGAUCCGCGCCGGGUACGGGCGGGCUUGAGUGCGGUAGGGGAGACUGGAAUUCCCGGUGUAACGGUGGAAUGUGUAGAUAUCGGGAAGAACACCAAUGGCGAAGGCAGGUCUCUGGGCCGUCACUGACGCUGAGGAGCGAAAGCGUGGGGAGCGAAC
RNAcentral lists this ribosomal RNA (206 nucleotides) under uncultured bacterium. Its description in RNAcentral is "partial 16S ribosomal RNA". It matches the Rfam family "Bacterial small subunit ribosomal RNA", at positions 568 to 773 of the family's 1533-position model. The record is from RNAcentral.